CCCUACGGGACGCAGCAGUGGGGAAUAUUGCACAAUGGGGGGAACCCUGAUGCAGCAAUGCCGCGUGGGUGAAGAAGCACUCCGGUGCGUAAAGCCCUGUCAGCAGGGAAGAAAAUGACAGUACCUGGACAAGAAGCCCCGGCUAACUACGUGCCAGCAGCCGCGGUAAUACGUAGGGGGCAAGCGUUAUCCGGAUUUACUGGGUGUAAAGGGAGCGUAGACGGCGAAGAAAGUCUGAAGUGAAAGCCCGCGGCUCAACCGCGGAACUGCUUUGGAAACUUUUUUGCUGGAGUACCGGAGAGGUA
This 305-nucleotide ribosomal RNA is filed under the name uncultured bacterium. RNAcentral's name for it is "bacterial SSU rRNA". It matches the Rfam family "Bacterial small subunit ribosomal RNA", at positions 337 to 659 of the family's 1533-position model. The record is from RNAcentral.